RNAcentral lists this ribosomal RNA (196 nucleotides) under uncultured Vibrionales bacterium. RNAcentral's name for it is "partial 16S ribosomal RNA". It matches the Rfam family "Bacterial small subunit ribosomal RNA", at positions 335 to 523 of the family's 1533-position model. The record is from RNAcentral. Lineage: Bacteria; Pseudomonadati; Pseudomonadota; Gammaproteobacteria; Vibrionales.
ACCCCUACGGGAGGCAGCAGUGGGGAAUAUUGCACAAUGGGCGCAAGCCUGAUGCAGCCAUGCCGCGUGUAUGAAGAAGGCCUUCGGGUUGUAAAGUACUUUCAGCAGUGAGGAAGGGGUGUAUGUUAAUAGCGUGCAUCUUUGACGUUAGCAACAGAAGAAGCACCGGCUAACUCCGUGCCAGCAGCCGCGGUAA